AUUGAACGCUGGCGGCAGGCCUAACACAUGCAAGUCGAGCGGAUGAAGGGAGCUUGCUCCUGGAUUCAGCGGCGGACGGGUGAGUAAUGCCUAGGAAUCUGCCUGGUAGUGGGGGAUAACGUCCGGAAACGGGCGCUAAUACCGCAUACGUCCUGAGGGAGAAAGUGGGGGAUCUUCGGACCUCACGCUAUCAGAUGAGCCUAGGUCGGAUUAGCUAGUUGGUGGGGUAAAGGCCUACCAAGGCGACGAUCCGUAACUGGUCUGAGAGGAUGAUCAGUCACACUGGAACUGAGACACGGUCCAGACUCCUACGGGAGGCAGCAGUGGGGAAUAUUGGACAAUGGGCGAAAGCCUGAUCCAGCCAUGCCGCGUGUGUGAAGAAGGUCUUCGGAUUGUAGAGCUCUUUAAGUUGGGAGGAAGGGCAGUAAGUUAAUACCUUGCUGUUUUGACGUUACCAACAGAAUAAGCACCGGCUAACUUCGUG
Molecule: ribosomal RNA, 484 nt
Filed under: uncultured bacterium
Lineage: Bacteria
Description: partial 16S ribosomal RNA
Rfam family: Bacterial small subunit ribosomal RNA
Source: RNAcentral